CCUACGGGAGGCAGCAGUGGGGAAUAUUGGACAAUGGGCGAAAGCCUGAUCCAGCCAUGCCGCGUGUGUGAAGAAGGCCUUCGGGUUGUAAAGCACUUUCAGUGGGGAAGAAAGCCUUGGGGCUAAUACCCUCGAGGAAGGACAUCACCCACAGAAGAAGCACCGGCUAACUCCGUGCCAGCAGCCGCGGUAAUACGGAGGGUGCGAGCGUUAAUCGGAAUUACUGGGCGUAAAGCGCGCGUAGGCGGUCUGAUAAGCCGGUUGUGAAAGCCCCGGGCUCAACCUGGGAACGGCAUCCGGAACUGUCAGGCUAGAGUGCAGGAGAGGAAGGUAGAAUUCCCGGUGUAGCGGUGAAAUGCGUAGAGAUCGGGAGGAAUACCAGUGGCGAAGGCGGCCUUCUGGACUGACACUGACGCUGAGGUGCGAAAGCGUGGGUAGCAAACAGGAUUAGAUACCUUGUAGUC
Molecule: ribosomal RNA, 464 nt
Filed under: Vreelandella stevensii
Lineage: Bacteria; Pseudomonadati; Pseudomonadota; Gammaproteobacteria; Oceanospirillales; Halomonadaceae
Description: partial 16S ribosomal RNA
Rfam family: Bacterial small subunit ribosomal RNA
Source: RNAcentral